RNAcentral lists this ribosomal RNA (585 nucleotides) under uncultured bacterium. RNAcentral describes it as "partial 16S ribosomal RNA". It matches the Rfam family "Bacterial small subunit ribosomal RNA", at positions 355 to 938 of the family's 1533-position model. The record is from RNAcentral.
UGGGGAAUUUUGGACAAUGGGCGAAAGCCUGAUCCAGCAAUGCCGCGUGUGUGAAGAAGGCCUUCGGGUUGUAGAGCACUUUUGUCCGGAAAGAAAUCCUUGGCUCUAAUACAGUCGGGGGAUGACGGUACCGGAAGAAUAAGCACCGGCUAACUACGUGCCAGCAGCCGCGGUAAUACGUAGGGUGCAAGCGUUAAUCGGAAUUACUGGGCGUAAAGCGUGCGCAGGCGGUUUGCUAAGACCGAUGUGAAAUCCCCGGGCUCAACCUGGGAACUGCAUUGGUGACUGGCAGGCUAGAGUAUGGCAGAGGGGGGUAGAAUUCCACGUGUAGCAGUGAAAUGCGUAGAGAUGUGGAGGAAUACCGAUGGCGAAGGCAGCCCCCUGGGCCAAUACUGACGCUCAUGCACGAAAGCGUGGGGAGCAAACAGGAUUAGAUACCCUGGUAGUCCACGCCCUAAACGAUGUCAACUAGUUGUUGGGGAUUCAUUUCCUUAGUAACGUAGCUAACGCGUGAAGUUGACCGCCUGGGGAGUACGGUCGCAAGAUUAAAACUUAAAGGAAUUGACGGGGUCAUAGCUGUUUCUU